Molecule: ribosomal RNA, 455 nt
Filed under: uncultured bacterium
Lineage: Bacteria
Description: bacterial SSU rRNA
Rfam family: Bacterial small subunit ribosomal RNA
Source: RNAcentral
UACGGGAGGCAGCAGUGGGGAAUAUUGCACAAUGGGCGCAAGCCUGAUGCAGCCAUGCCGCGUGUAUGAAGAAGGCCUUCGGGUUGUAAAGUACUUUCAGUCGUGAGGAAGGUGUUAAGGUUAAUAACCUUAGCAAUUGACGUUAGCGACAGAAGAAGCACCGGCUAACUCCGUGCCAGCAGCCGCGGUAAUACGGAGGGUGCGAGCGUUAAUCGGAAUUACUGGGCGUAAAGGGCACGCAGGCGGUUAAUUAAGUUGGAUGUGAAAUCCCCGGGCUUAACCUGGGAAUGGCAUUCAAGACUGGUUAGCUAGAGUCUUGUAGAGGGGGUUAGAAUUCCAUGUGUAGCGGUGAAAUGCGUAGAGAUGUGGAGGAAUACCGGUGGCGAAGGCGGCCCCUGGACAAAGGACUGACGCUCAUGUGCGAAAGCGUGGGAAGCAAACAGGGAUUAGAUACC